UACGGAGGGGGCUAGCGUUGUUCGGAAUUACUGGGCGUAAAGCGCACGUAGGCGGCUUUGUAAGUCAGAGGUGAAAGCCUGGAGCUCAACUCCAGAACUGCCUUUGAGACUGCAUCGCUUGAAUCAUGGAGAGGUCAGUGGAAUUCCGAGUGUAGAGGUGAAAUUCGUAGAUAUUCGGAAGAACACCAGUGGCGAAGGCGGCUGACUGGACAUGUAUUGACGCUGAGGUGCGAAAGCGUGGGGAGCAAACAGG
Molecule: ribosomal RNA, 253 nt
Filed under: uncultured bacterium
Lineage: Bacteria
Description: partial 16S ribosomal RNA
Rfam family: Bacterial small subunit ribosomal RNA
Source: RNAcentral